Eleginops maclovinus (Patagonian blennie) is the source of this 2334-nucleotide RNA transcript. The record is from RefSeq and is a predicted model, not a curated record. NCBI's taxonomy places the organism in Eukaryota, Metazoa, Chordata, Actinopteri, Perciformes, Eleginopidae.
AGAGUUAGGGCUCUGUUUCACUGGGACCAAAAUUAGUGUUACAACAGGUUGUUUACACGGGAAGCACAGGGCUGCGUUGACGACUCGCCGGUUGGUUGUCUAACGCGCUCAAAAUACGUUUUUAAGCAGAGCCAACGUGUUUAUCUGGCCUACAUUUUAACUUUAAAUAUUUAUGUUCAUUCAUAUUAGUCUUAUAGCAAAUGUUUGUGUAUGUUUAAGGUUAGCUAUGCGCUGACACAUUACAACAGACAGGAUGUUGGUCGGCUACAGCAGCAGCUCGGAGGAGGAAAGUGAGGAGGCAUCGGCGACUGAUGAAAACAGAAGUUUUUCUCGAAAGUGUCAAGAGGAAGAGGAGGGUAACCAUGGCAGCCCAGCGAGGAAGAAACACAAAAUUGAAGAACAGGCUCCUAAAACAAGGCUGCCUCUUCCUGUCUGCCUGUUGGCCAUGUUUCCAGAUGAAGUGGCCGCAGAGACUGAAGACAGCUCUCUUCAUGGUGGACGCAUCCGCUCCUUCAAACAUGAGAGAGGCAACUGGGCCAGCUACGUUUAUUUACCAUACCAUCCCGAGGAAGAUUUCAGGGAGUUGUUGGAUGAGCUGCUCUUGUUUGCCAAUGCCCAUGGUGCAGUUUUGACCCCGCAGGAGGAGUUUCACCUCAGCUUGUCUCAGACGGUGGUGCUCAGACACCACUGGAUCCAACCCUUCACCCAAAGCCUGAAGGCAGGUCUGAUGCACUCUAAGAGGUUUCUGUGCACAGCAGGGAGACUGAGGGUCUACUGUAACGCUGAGAGGACCAGGACGUUUCUAGGGAUGGAGGUGUGUACUGGGCAUGCUCAGCUGCUGGACCUGGUCCAUGAUGUGGACAAAACGAUGACGGAGUUUCACCUGGACACUUUUUAUAAGGAUCCUUCUUUCCACGUGAGUCUGGCCUGGUGUGCUGGAGACGUGACGGGACAGAUGAAGGAGGAGUGCAUUCAGGGGAUGCAGGUGCACUGACACCACUCUGUGCUUGUUUACAUCUUAAAUCAUUUCAAUGUUCUGCCCAUAUAUACUAGUCUGGUUGAUAACCAUGAAGAAGGACCCUUUGUGCUGCAGUUGGACUGCGAGGAGCUGCGCUGCAGAACAGGAAAUAAAACCUUCCGCUUCCCUCUGAAGCCCUGAAAGUGGAUACAAGAAUACCCUGACCUCUUAAGAUUGACAGCUGUUUUGUUCUGACACACACUAAUGAGCUAAGAAAAUGUUUUAGUGUUGACACUGCUGCCGGAUAUGGUGCCGGUCCAAACAAAGACAAUCAAGGCUCCCCUUGUAUUUUUGAUGGCUGACCCAGAAGAGCUUCUGCCAACAAAUGUGAUGGGAUUUUCCAUUAGAUUUUGGAACAUUUCAGAAAAUAAGCUCUGUGGCAAGCACACCUUUUAGAAUACGUACACAUUUUGUUCAGCAGGAUAAUCUCCACCACAUGAAAUUUUAAGAAUAUAUGCAAUUGCCAGAACUAAAAAUCUAACGUAAGGCUAUAAGGGAACACCAGCGCUAAGCUAAAGGCUCUUUAGUUCCUUGUUAGCAACCGAUGUUUUUAUGAUUCAUAGAAGUUUCGGAAAUUCAGGAGCAGAGUGAUUACUGACUGAUUUUUUGCCGUGUAUCAAAACGUAUCUCAGCUUGUGUUGUGACCUUUUUUCAGGCAUCUCACCAAAAACAUGUUAAAAAGCGUUGACUUUGAGACGAGGUAACUUGAAGUGCUAAAAUGCUUACUAAUUUCCGUGUUUUGGGAUUCAUUCCUGCACCAUUCUAUGGUUUUUAAAAAUAUUUAUAGAUAAAGUUCCAUCUGGUUUUCUACUUAUUUGUUUUGUAUGCUAAUGCUACGAGUUGUGUUCAGAGAGGUUAAAAUAUGCCCGAAAAUAAUAUUUUAAAGAAUUGUGACGCAUGUGAGAAGCCUCACAUUCAAAGGGGUGAAGCCUCAAUAAAAGGAAGUUGUGGGCUUUGUCAGUAUUGUAACCUCAAUAGUGGUUCCCACACAGACAUGAACACAGAGGAGGAAAGGUUAGGAGGACUGAACGUCAUCACUGACAAUUUUCUCUGACUGCUCCUAGAGCACAAAAAGAUAAUUCAAUGUGAUAUUUGAAAUGUUUUACUUUAUAGAACACCAAGUUGGACACAUUUAUCACACAUGAUAGUUCACAGCAGAGUAUCAUUGGUGUGGCCCUCAGAGGGCUGCAUGGCACAGAACAAUCACUGGGGCCAGAGAGACUCUGAUGGCUGGUCCACAGGGACAAAACUCUGCACUGGAACUUUAAAAAUAGAGAAAUACAAAUGAAACAGUAAAUAAAAGAUCUAAAAUCUGA